AGGGAGCCACCAGCCCAGAUCAAGUACCCCACCGUGCCGCGGAGCUGCGGGGGCCAGCACACCAUCACCACCCCUCUCCAGCGCCUCCAGUGCCUCCGGACCCCCCAUCAACUCCAGCCCCUCCUGCUCCCCAACAAGUACAACACGGAGGAUUUGUUGGCCAAGGACCAUCAAGGCCUCAGGGGCCGGAUCGGGGAGCUGCUGAGGGGCAGGGAAGAGCCACAGCCAGCAGAGCCCGAGGCGGGGGGGGCCAAUCACCACCACCCCCAGCCACCGGGGUCACCGCGGGACCGCUCCAGCAAACCCUCAGCCAGACUGCGCCACCUGCUCUUCAAAACGUGAUUUAUUACUAUUUAAUAACCGCCCCCCCCCCUCAACCUG
Long non-coding RNA from Calidris pugnax (ruff), 381 nucleotides. RefSeq lists it as uncharacterized. The record is from RefSeq and is a predicted model, not a curated record. The transcript has 3 exons. Lineage: Eukaryota; Metazoa; Chordata; Aves; Charadriiformes; Scolopacidae.